CAACCUAUUAAAAAAUGAGAAAGCUUUCAAACGCAUACUGUUUCACGCUCAUGAAUCUCAAAUUCUUCCUCUUGCACCGACAACCUUCCUUCUUUCGGUUCACCGUCCUCAGUUAUCCAUAAACCGUCCGCCGCCCUCGUCUUUAUCAUGACCUUGGUGACCCUGUUUCAAUUUAUAGUGUUGUGUAAGCUUUGAAGAUUUAAGAUUGGGCUAUUGAGGUGGCUAGCCAAGAGGAAUUAAUGGAUGCACUGGAAGCUUGUUUAAUUGGAGUUUUUAUAUCUUUUCAAGCCUCUGCUUUUCAGACUAAUACACCAUGUAGUGUCUCAGAUUGAUGUAGCGGACAGAAGUUGAGCCUAUUGCUUCUUCUGCAGCUGGAACUCCAAGUGAGCCAAUGAACAUCAUGAUUGUCUUGCAACCUGUGCUCAAGAAGUCACUGGCAUAUGGUGUAAGUGUGGUUGAUUGUUCCUUUGUGAAAUUCUAUGGCUAUCACAUUUUAUUAGUCAAUUAUUACUUGGUUAGGCUUUGAAAUACUUAUCUAGAUCAUGGUUUAUUUCUUAGCUUUCUUUUGUUUUUAUCGUGCUAAUUAUUGUUGGCCUUUUCCUUGCAAUUGUGUAAGAUUGAUUCCAAGGGAAAAGCUUGGAAAAUGAUUGGUUGCUCCUGUGCGGUUGUCAAGGAAUGACCUUAAGAACCAAUAUUUUUAAAAUGUAGAGGCAGUUAAUGCGGCAGUUAAUCACAUAAGCUGAGUGGUGGCGUGGAAUCUUGGCGGGCUUCUAUCGAAGUGUAAAGGCUACUCAGAUGGGAUUAUCACUUAAUGUUGACAUGUCAUGAUAUCCACGGUGUUCAUAGAACCACUCCCCAUGAUUGACAUUGUAGCUCAAAUAUUAGGAGAAGAGUUUCACUUAAAGCCAUUGUCGGAUGCAGAUCGCAUCAAGAUUAAGAAAGCCUUAAGAGGUGUGAAAGUAAAAAUUACAAGGGCAUGUGAAUGUAGAAAUGACAGAGCCUCAACAAGAAGCAUCAUGUCAUGAUGUUUGGAAGUAUAUUUAUAGAAUCUUCAUGUGUAUACAAAAAGGAAAUUGGCAAAAAGGGAGAAGCUAGAAUAAAUGAAGUCUAUGGAUCCAGGCUCUUCUACGAUGGCAGCGUCAAAGGUUGCGUUAGCGGUUGUCUAGCUAAGAAAUUGGUGCAGUUGCUCAUUGUUUAUUGGAAGCGGCGAGAGGGAUUAAAAUCACGUUGAUUGUAACGUUUUUCUGAAACUAGCCAUCGGGUUGAAGAUAAUGGGUCAUCAAGAAGGAUUGAUUGUAUGGAAGAAAAUUGGUCAUCAAGAAUUUUUCUAUGUAUUUUGGGCAUUAUAAUGCUUAUUAUUAUAUCAUUGGAAUUUGUUAUUAUAACAUUAGAAUUUGAUAUUUUUUCGGUGUAUUGUACUACAUGAUUAUGAAACUAGUAUUUUUUGACAUUA
This is a long non-coding RNA of Vicia villosa (hairy vetch), 1453 nucleotides long. RefSeq lists it as uncharacterized. Lineage: Eukaryota; Viridiplantae; Streptophyta; Magnoliopsida; Fabales; Fabaceae. The transcript is spliced from 7 exons. The record is from RefSeq and is a predicted model, not a curated record.